RNAcentral lists this ribosomal RNA (545 nucleotides) under uncultured bacterium. RNAcentral describes it as "bacterial SSU rRNA". It matches the Rfam family "Bacterial small subunit ribosomal RNA", at positions 777 to 1319 of the family's 1533-position model. The record is from RNAcentral.
AAUAGAUACCCGGGUAGUCCACGCCGUAAACGAUGAGUGCUAAGUGUUAGAGGGUUUCCGCCCUUUAGUGCUGCAGCAAACGCAUUAAGCACUCCGCCUGGGGAGUACGGCCGCAAGGCUGAAACUCAAAGGAAUUGACGGGGGCCCGCACAAGCGGUGGAGCAUGUGGUUUAAUUCGAAGCAACGCGAAGAACCUUACCAGGUCUUGACAUCCUUUGCCACUCCUAGAGAUAGGAUUUUCCCCUUCGGGGGACAAAGUGACAGGUGGUGCAUGGUUGUCGUCAGCUCGUGUCGUGAGAUGUUGGGUUAAGUCCCGCAACGAGCGCAACCCUUGUUCUUAGUUGCCAGCAUUUAGUUGGGCACUCUAAGGAGACUGCCGGUGACAAACCGGAGGAAGGUGGGGAUGACGUCAAAUCAUCAUGCCCCUUAUGACCUGGGCUACACACGUGCUACAAUGGAUGGUACAAAGGGUCGCGAAACCGCGAGGUCCGAGCCAAUCCCAUAAAACCAUUCUCAGUUCGGAUUGUAGGCCGCAACUCGCCUAC